AGCGAACGCUGGCGGCAGGCUUAACACAUGCAAGUCGAGCGGGCACUUCGGUUUCAUCUGCCGACUGGUUAGUAACACGUUGGAACGUACCCUUUUGUUCGGUAUAACUCUGGGAAACUAGCGCUAAUACCGGAUACGCCCUUUUGGGGAAAGGCUUGCUGCCGAAGGAUCGGCCCGCGUCUGAUUAGCUAGUUGGUUGGGUAAUAGCCUACCAAGGCGAAGAUCAGUAGCUGGUCUGAGAGGAUGAUCAGCCACACUGGGACUGGGACACGGCGGAGAAUCCUAGGGGAGGGAGAAGUGGGGAAUAUUGGACAAGGGGGGAAAGCAUGAGGAAGCCAGGGCGGGUGAGUGAUGAAGGCGUUAGGGUAGUAAAGGAGUUUUGAAAGGGAAGAUAAUGACGGUAACGAAAGAAUAAGCCCCGGCUAACUACGUG
Molecule: ribosomal RNA, 433 nt
Filed under: uncultured bacterium
Lineage: Bacteria
Description: partial 16S ribosomal RNA
Rfam family: Bacterial small subunit ribosomal RNA
Source: RNAcentral